GCAGCCUGAUGCAGCCAUGCCGCGUGUAUGAAGAAGGCCUUCGGGUUGUAAAGUACUUUCAGCGGGGAGGAAAGGACUAAAGUUAAUACCUUUGCUCAUUGACGUUACCCGCACAACAAGCACCGGCUAACUCCGUGCCCGCACCCGCGGCAAUACGGAUGGUGCAAGCGUUAAUCGGAAUUACUGGGCGUAUAGCGCACGCAGGCGGUUUGUUAAGUCAUAUGUGAGAUCCCCGGGCUCAACCUGGGAACUGCGUCUGAUACUGACGAGCUUGAGUCUCGUAGAGGGGGGUAGAAUUCCAUGUGUAGCAGUGAAAUGCGUAAAGAUCUGGAGGAAUACCGGUGGCGAAGGCGGCCCCCUGGACCAAGACUGACGCUCAGGUGCGAAAGCGUGGGGAGCAAACAGGAUUAGAUACCCUGGUAGUCCACGCCGUAAACGAUGUCUACUUGGAGGUUGUGCCCUUGAUGCGUGGCUUCCGGAGCUAACGCGUUCACUCGACCGCCUGGGGAGUACGGCCGCAGGGUUAAAACUCAAAUGAGUUGACGGGGGCCCGCACAAGCGGUGGAGCAUGUGGUUUAAUUCGAUGCGACGCGAAGAAACUUAUCUGGACUUGACAUCCUGUGAACUUUUCAGAGAUGAUAUUGUGCCUUCGCGAAACCGUGAAGACAGGUGCUGCAUGGG
Molecule: ribosomal RNA, 681 nt
Filed under: Escherichia coli
Lineage: Bacteria; Pseudomonadati; Pseudomonadota; Gammaproteobacteria; Enterobacterales; Enterobacteriaceae
Description: bacterial SSU rRNA
Rfam family: Bacterial small subunit ribosomal RNA
Source: RNAcentral